ACCCAAAUGGCGCGGGAGGAGGAAGAAGGGGUCAGCUUCAAGCCUGACGUUCUAGGGGGGAGCCGCUUCUUAACCCACAGGACACUUGCUCUCUCUUUCUUGUGACCCCAACAUGUCAGCUGGCAAGACUCAACAUUCCUGUCUGGGACUGAGCAGCUUGAACCACUUGUAUGAGUCACAGACAAAUCCCAGCGGAUCUAAGCUUUUGAAAACUUGACCUUUUGUAAAAAUGAGGAAACUGAAGUUAUAGCCCUUUCUGGAGUGUGGAAGCUUUGGAAACAUCGCACCACAGUGAAGCAAGCCGGGGAGGGUGCCAGCCCAAACCAGAACCAAGUGUGGGCAUUUCAUGCCAUGAACACAAAAGAAAAGGAGAAUCAUACCCCCAUUCCACCACCCCACUCCAACCCCUCCACUGUGGCUCCAAUGUUACAGACCACUCCUAACUUCAGUCCCGGAAGAAUGGAAGGAAGGCUGCAACUUAAGAGACUGCGGUUAGAAGUGAUCUUCAUAAAUUGUUUGCCUUGCCUGUGUCUAGAGUCCUUAAGAUGGAGUGAAGGUACCUGAGCGCAGGAACCAUGGUCUUCAUUGCUGCCUCAGCAUUAGCGGAAGUGCCACGGGCCGGCUCCCAGGGGGCCAGAGUUUCCCAGGAACACCAUUGAGUACCACUGAACUAGAGUCUGCAAGUUAAAGUAAGGCAAGAAGGAAAACCGGAAACAACUGUAAAAACCUGACCUUUCGUCACCUUAAUACUGGCCAUCAUUUAUCGAGUGCUUAUUAUGUAACAGACAUUGUUCUCAGUGUGUGAGUGCAGUGUUCCUCAAACCUAAAUGUGGGCCUGAAUCGCAGCGGAUCUUGGUAAAAUGCAGUUUCUCAUUCAGUACCUCUGGGGUGCGGCCUGAGAUUCUGCAUUUCCAACAAGCUCCCAGGAUACUUUGUAUAGAAAGGCUUUGGUGUAUUAACUAACUCGAUCUUCUUAAUAAUCCUAUGAAAUACUACUGCUAUUCCCAUUUUACAGAUGAGGAAACAGAGGUUAAGCAUAUAUGAACUUACAUCAAAAUAAAUAGACUGCAGGGCAAGGAGGGAGGGGAGAAUAGUGUGGGCAGUGUACAGUGCAGAAACAAAGUUCUAGGCAGAGGAAAAAGGAUUUACAGAAAGCCUGGCAUACAGGGCAGGGGGACGGGGCCUGCACACGGGGCUGUUUCACCGUUAGACGUUAUAAGCACAGUACUUGGGGCUAUGGGCUUCCUGAAGGUCCCAAGUAUUUGAGACCUGAAAAAAAUUUAUUGACACCUACAUAGGAAAAGUGAACUUUUAAAUUAAUAAUUCCAAAAUUCAAAUCACGAAUUGUUUCAAAAAUUUUACAUGAUAGAAUUCAUAUUUAGUAAGCGAUACGGGUAUAUUUUAAUGCAUUUGAUUUUAAAAACGGGGUAGGGCCUACUAAGAACAGGCCAAGCCCUGGCCCCAGUGGGUUUGGAUAUAAUCCUGAGGGCAGCUGGGAACCACUGAGAGAAGCAGGAGAAUGUUCUCUGUGGCUACAGUGAGGAGAAUGGAUUGGAGGGAGGCCAGACUGGAGGCCCAGUGGCUAGAGACCAGAUAGGCAGUUACAGUCUUCCAGACUGCGAGACAAUCUCUCUUUAGUGCCAAGAUUAGCAUAAAAUCAUAGCAUUAUAUAACCCAAUUAUUCUUUGAUUCCUGCAUCCCCAAUCUGACUCAGCAUUCUAAAUUUACUUAAGAUCUGGGGACAAGGGUUUUUGGCAAAUCCUUGAAGGCAAAUGAUGUUACAGUCAAUCAGUAUAUGCCUUGAGCCAGACAGACAUGGGUACGGGCCUCAGUUCUGCUGCUUGCUAGCUAUGUGACUUUGCACAAGUGAUUUAACUUCUCUGGGCCUUGGAUUCCUUACUGGUAACACGAGCAUAAUCGAUUCCUCACAGAAUUAAGUGAGAAAACUAUGUAUGUAGGACUUCUUA
Molecule: long non-coding RNA, 1967 nt
Organism: Homo sapiens (human)
Lineage: Eukaryota; Metazoa; Chordata; Mammalia; Primates; Hominidae
Gene: NINJ2-AS1
Product: NINJ2 antisense RNA 1
Source: Ensembl